ACACAUGCAAGUCGAGGGGAAACGGCAUUAAGUGCUUGCACUUUUUGGACGUCGACCGGCGCACGGGUGAGUAACGCGUAUCCAACCUGCCCCUUACCAGGGAAUAACCCGUUGAAAGACGGACUAAUGCCCUAUGCAGUCCUUUGACGGCAUCAGAUUAGGACUAAAGAUUCAUCGGUAUGGGAUGGGGAUGCGUCUGAUUAGCUUGUUGGCGGGGUAACGGCCCACCAAGGCAUCGAUCAGUAGGGGUUCUGAGAGGAAGGUCCCCCACAUAGGAACUGAGACACGGUCCUAACUCCUACGGGAGGCAGCAGUGAGGAAUAUUGGUCAAUGGGCGCUAGCCUGAACCAGCCAAGUAGCGUGCAGGAUGACGGCCCUAUGGGUUGUAAACUGCUUUUAUGCGGGGAUAAAGUCACCCACGUGUGGGUGUUUGCAGGUACCGCAUGAAUAAGGACCGGCUAAUUCCGUGCCAGCAGCCGCGGUAAUACGGAAGGUCCGGGCGUUAUCCGGAUUUAUUGGGUUUAAAGGGAGUGUAGGCGGCCUGUUAAGCGUGUUGUGAAAUGUAGAUGCUCAACAUCUGAACUGCAGCGCGAACUGGCUGGCUUGAGUACACGCAACGUGGGCGGAAUUCAUGGUGUAGCGGUGAAAUGCUUAGAUAUCAUGAGGAACUCCUAUUGCGAAGGCAGCUCACGGG
This 694-nucleotide ribosomal RNA is filed under the name uncultured bacterium. RNAcentral's name for it is "bacterial SSU rRNA". It matches the Rfam family "Bacterial small subunit ribosomal RNA", at positions 51 to 732 of the family's 1533-position model. The record is from RNAcentral.